Molecule: ribosomal RNA, 468 nt
Filed under: uncultured bacterium
Lineage: Bacteria
Description: bacterial SSU rRNA
Rfam family: Bacterial small subunit ribosomal RNA
Source: RNAcentral
ACUCCUACGGGAGGCAGCAGUGGGGAAUAUUGCACAAUGGGCGCAAGCCUGAUGCAGCCAUGCCGCGUGUAUGAAGAAGGCCUUCGGGUUGUAAAGUACUUUCAGCAGUGAGGAAGGUGGGUAUGUUAAUAGCAUAUUCAUUUGACGUUAGCUGCAGAAGAAGCACCGGCUAACUCCGUGCCAGCAGCCGCGGUAAUACGGAGGGUGCGAGCGUUAAUCGGAAUUACUGGGCGUAAAGCGCAUGCAGGUGGUUGUUAAGUCAGAUGUGAAAGCCCGGGGCUCAACCUCGGAAUUGCAUUUGAAACUGGCAAACUAGAGUACUGUAGAGGGGGUAGAAUUUCAGGUGUAGCGGUGAAAUGCGUAGAGAUCUGAAGGAUACCGGUGGCGAAGCGGCCCCUGGACAGAUACUGACACUCAGAUGCGAAAGCGUGGGAGCAAACAGGAUUAGAUACCCCUGGUAGGUCAGUC